AAACCACGAAGAAGACGAAAACGAAAGUAAUGUUAAGCUGCAGAAGUAAACAAAGAAGCUACUAUUGCAAAUGAAGAUGUCAGAAUGACCAAAGGAGACAGAUCAAAUCGCUUCAAAAGUCAAACACGCAGCAGUUUAAUGGCACGGAAUAUUUUACCAGACACUGGACUUUUGUUUGGAUUCUUGCGACGUGACAAACAACUAUCGUAAAAGACAAAAAAAGUGCUUCAGAUACUUCUCAGUUCUCUUUUUAGUGCACAAGACUGUCAAACUGAACGACUGAGACUGAUUUUUACAAACCAGUGUUGAGCUGUUCAGCUGCAGUAUGACAGAGGAGCGAGGAAAGGACUCUCCGUCUGAGAUGAGUCUCUCACAGACACAGAGUGUAAGAUCAGGUUCACAUGUGUCCAGCUCUGUGUCUGUGAAGAGUGACCGUUCAAAAGGUGACAUGCCGAACCUCAGUGAGAAAAAACCAUCAUCUACCAAAAGUGUGAGAUCAGGUUCACAUGUGUCCAGCUCUGUGUCUGUGAAGAGUGACCGUUCAAAAGGUGACAUGCCGAACUUCAGUGAGAAAAAAAUGUCAACUACAAAAAGUGUAAGAUCAAGCUCACAUGUGUCCAGCUCUGUGUCUGUGAAGAGUGAGCGUUCAAAAGGGGACAUGCCAAACUUCAGUGAGAAAAAAACAUCAACCAAAAGGUAUUUCAUGUGUUGUAUAUUAUAACAUUGCAUUAUUUCUGUCUGAUAACCUUUAUUGAACCUGGUUUGGAGCUUAUUUCAAGUAAUAGAAUUAAACAGUAGCUACUCAGGGGCAAAAAAUUCACCAUGGAAAAUAGAUAAUUCAACCGAACAUUACCUCCAUCCGUCCAUCCAUCCAUAGUGACGAAGGACAAAUAAAGGACUGCAUUUAAUGACCAUUUGCUACAUUAGAAUUUUCAAAUGAGACUUGCGUAUCUUGUAUCUUCUGU
Molecule: long non-coding RNA, 965 nt
Filed under: Sinocyclocheilus grahami
Lineage: Eukaryota; Metazoa; Chordata; Actinopteri; Cypriniformes; Cyprinidae
Description: lncRNA (ENSSGRG00000009538.1)
Source: RNAcentral